CCAACCUCCGUCGUGUCGUCGCCGGUAAUAGGUGGGGUGCUGGAGUGUCGGGUAAUUAGUGUGCGUAAAGAGGUCCUAGGCUGCGUGACGCGUCGGCUGUGAAAACCUGGGGGUCAACCCCGGGCUGGCAGCGGAUACGGGAAAGCUAGAAUUCGGUAGGGGAGGCUGGAAUUCCUGGUGUAGCGGUGAAAUGCGCAGAUAUCAGGAGGAACACCGGUGGCGAAGGCGGGUCUCUGGGCCGAUAUUGACGCUGAGGAGCGAAAGCGUGGGGAGCGAACAGGAUUAGAUACCCGAGUAGUC
Molecule: ribosomal RNA, 300 nt
Filed under: uncultured Acholeplasma sp.
Lineage: Bacteria; Bacillati; Mycoplasmatota; Mollicutes; Acholeplasmatales; Acholeplasmataceae
Description: bacterial SSU rRNA
Rfam family: Bacterial small subunit ribosomal RNA
Source: RNAcentral